RNAcentral lists this ribosomal RNA (1419 nucleotides) under Eugnosta dives. RNAcentral describes it as "16S ribosomal RNA". The record is from RNAcentral. Lineage: Eukaryota; Metazoa; Arthropoda; Insecta; Lepidoptera; Tortricidae.
UUGGGGGAAAAAUUAGUAUAAAUAUUAAAUAAUAAAAAUAAUUUUAAAAUAUUUAAAAAUAGGGGGUUUAAGUAUUUUAUAAAGAAAAAAUUAUUUAAUUUAUAGAAAAUUAGUAUUGUGAAAGAAUUUUGAAAUAAUAUUGAAAAUUAAUUUAUUUAUAAGUAAAUUUUAAUUAUUGUAUCUUGUGUAUCAGAGUUUAUUAAUAAAUUAAUUUUAGUUAUAAUUUUCUCGAAUUUAAAAGAGUUAAUUAAUUAUAAAAUUUAUUGUAGCAAAAAUAUUUUUAAUAAUUAAUUGGAAAUGAUAUGUUAAUCGUUUUUAAAUAUAUCUAGUUUUUUUAGAAAAAAAUUAAAUUUUUAAUAAAUUUAAUUAAAAAUUUAAUUUAUUAAAUUUUUAAAAAUAAAUUUUAAUAUUUUAAGGGAUAAGCUUUAAAAUAAAAAUUAUUAUAAAAAAAAUAAAUUUGAAAUGAGAAUUAUAAAAUUUAUAUUGUUUAUAAAUUAUAUUUUUUUAUAAAUAAUUUCAUUAAAAUUAAAAUUUAAUAUUUUUUUAAUUUUAUAUAAAAAAAUAAAGUUUAUUUAAAUAAUUUUAAUUAUAAUGAUAAAAUUAGUAUAAAUAGUUAAAAUUAAUUUAUAAAAUUUAUUUUUAAGUUAAAUAAUAAGGAAUUCGGCAAAAAUUUAUAUUCACUUGUUUAUCAAAAACAUGUCUUUUUGAUUAUAAUUUAAAGUCUAAUCUGCCCACUGAUUUAUUAAAGGGCUGCAGUAUUUUGACUGUACAAAGGUAGCAUAAUCAUUAGUCUCUUAAUUGGUGACUUGUAUGAAAGAUUGGAUGAAAUAUAAACUGUCUUAUUUUUAAUAUUUAAAAUUUAAUUUUUUAGUUAAAAAGCUAAGAUAAUUUUAAAAGACGAGAAGACCCUAUAGAGUUUUAUAUAAUUAAAUUAAUUAGAAAUUUUUUUAUAAAUUUUAAGUUUAAAUUAUUAAUUAUAUUUUAUUGGGGUGAUAGAAAAAUAAAAAUAACUUUUUAUAUAUUUAAUAUUAAUUAUUAUUAAAUAAAAUAUUAAUUAAACAUUGAUUAAUGAAUGUAUGAUCCAAAAUUUUUGAUUAUAAGAAUAAAUUACCUUAGGGAUAACAGCGUAAUUUUUUUUUUUAGUUCAAAUAAAAAAAAAAGUUUGCGACCUCGAUGUUGGAUUAAGAUAAAAUUUAAAUGCAAAAGUUUAAAAUUUUGAUCUGUUCGAUCAUUAAAAUCUUACAUGAUCUGAGUUCAAACCGGUGUAAGCCAGGUUGGUUUCUAUCUUUAAAUAAAUUAAAUAUUUUAGUACGAAAGGAUUAAAUAUUUAAAAUAAUUUUUAAUUGAUAAUGAAUAUUAUUAAUAUUAAAUUAUAUUUUUAAAAAAAAAUAAGUUAAUAUUUAUAAAUAGUUUAAUAAA